RNAcentral lists this ribosomal RNA (1091 nucleotides) under uncultured organism. RNAcentral's name for it is "bacterial SSU rRNA". It matches the Rfam family "Bacterial small subunit ribosomal RNA", at positions 162 to 1263 of the family's 1533-position model. The record is from RNAcentral.
GGUAAUACCCGAUGAUCCACGGCGGCCGCAUGGUCGCCGUGGCAAAGCUCCGGCGCCUUUGGAUCGGGGAAUGCGCUAUCAGGUUGUUGGUGAGGUAACGGCUCACCAAGCCAGAGACGGCUAGCGGGUGUGAGAGCAUGACCCGCCGCAUCGGAACUGAGACACUGUCCGGACUCCUACGGGAGGCUGCAGCGACGAAUCUUCCGCAAUGUACGCAAGUAUGACGGAGCAAUGCCGCGUGCAGGAUGAAGCCCCUCGGGGUGUAAACUGCUGUCAGGGUCUAGGAAGAUCUGACCGGACCCAAAGGAAGGACCGGCUAAGUUCGUGCCAGCAGCCGCGGUAAUACGAACGGUCCGAGCGUUGAGCGGAUUCACUGGGCUUAAAGGGUGCGUAGGCGGACAUGCAAGUGUCUUGUGAAAUCCCACGGCUCAACCGUGGAAUUGCGGGGCAAACUGUGUGUCUUGAGGUCGGUAGGGGUUGCCGGAACUCUAGGUGUAGCGGUGAAAUGCGUAGAUAUCUAGAGGAACACCAAUGGCGAAGGCAGGCAACUGGGCCGAUUCUGACGCUGAGGCACGAAAGCGUGGGGAGCAAACGGGAUUAGAUACCCUGGUAGUCCACGCCGUAAACGUUGUGCACUAGAUCCCGGAGGUUCUGACACCAUCGGGGUCGCAGUAAAAGCGUUAAGUGCACCGCCUGGGGAGUACGGUCGCAAGAUUAAAACUCAAAGGAAUUGACGGGGGCUCACACAAGCGGUGGAGCAUGUGGCUUAAUUCGAGGCAACGCGAAGAACCUUAUCCUGGGUUUGACAUGCAAGGAUUAGCUCUGUGAAAGCGGAGUGACGCGGCUUGCCGUGGAACUUGCACAGGUGCUGCAUGGCUGUCGUCAGCUCGUGCUGUGAAGUGUCGGGUUAAGUCCCUUAACGAGCGAAACCCCUGUCGCUAGUUGCUAACGCGUUAUGGCGAGGACUCUAGCGAGACUGCCGGUGUCAAACCGGAGGAAGGUGGGGAUGACGUCAAGUCCUCAUGGCCUUUAUGCCCAGGGCUGCACACGUGCUACAAUGGCGUGUACAGAGGGAAGCAAUACCGCGAGGU